UACGUAGGAUACAGGCGUUAAUCGGAAUUACUGGGCGUAAAGCGUGCGCAGGCGGUCUUUUAAGUCAGAUGUGAAAUCCCCGGGCUUAACCUGGGAACUGCGUUUGAAACUGGAAGGCUUGAGUGUGGCAGAGGGGGGUGGAAUUCCACGUGUAGCAGUGAAAUGCGUAGAGAUGUGGAGGAACACCGAUGGCGAAGGCAGCCCCCUGGGCUAACACUGACGCUCAUGCACGAAAGCGUGGGGAGCAAACAGG
Molecule: ribosomal RNA, 253 nt
Filed under: uncultured bacterium
Lineage: Bacteria
Description: partial 16S ribosomal RNA
Rfam family: Bacterial small subunit ribosomal RNA
Source: RNAcentral